AUGAUCCUUUGUGGCUCAAGAUCA
This 24-nucleotide non-coding RNA is filed under the name Arabidopsis thaliana (thale cress). The record is from RNAcentral. Lineage: Eukaryota; Viridiplantae; Streptophyta; Magnoliopsida; Brassicales; Brassicaceae.